UUGGGGAACAUUUUUUACUUAGCAUUUUUCACAUUUAAUUUUCAUCAAUGAAAAAUGUGCAUGUUUUUUUGUUUUUUUCUAAUUCUUCAAAAUUAUAUUUUUAAUUCGUUAUAUAGACAUGUAAGAUACUAUAUUUUCAAAUAUGCUCAUUCAAGAUCAAAUAAUUCUCCAUUUUUAAGACCCUGAAGGGAGAUGUCAACGGGAGCAAGAUCACCUGUAUGUGUUAAGGAUGUACUUAGGUGAGGUUUUGGAAUUUGUGUCAAAUGUUCGGACUCCUUGGUGUUUUUCCAUACAAUACAAUGUAAAAUAUUUUGCCCCAUAACACCCAUAUAUUUUUUCAUAUAAGUCUUAAUAGCUCAUGAAAGGUCAUUUACCAAAAUUUUAGAAGAUUCUUAAUUGUCUUUCUUUUGUUUUGAGACCUAAUAAUACCAAUGCAAAUAUAAGGUAAAAAGUCCGAGUCAGCCUUUUCCCGCCAUAUUUUAAAUCUCAAAUAUCUCGAGAUCUAUCAAUAUUUUUAGAUUAUUUUUAUCCUUAAUUGAUGAUCUACCAGCUUAUAGUAUCAAUUUUAACUUCUUAAUUUAUUAAUUUUCACCUAACCUCACCUAAGUACAUCCUUAAUGAAUGUAAACACAUCUAUAAAUUAGUAUCAAUUGAGACAUCAUUCUCCAAAAAAGAUCACAUAUUUUGUGUAGGCUUCCUUUCCAUUAGACACUGAUUUUGCAGAAAUCAAUAAAAUCUGUUGCAAAUCUAUUUCUUCUUUAAAAUUUUUAUCCCAUGUUAUAAAAGACUACUUUAUACCAUCCAUUCUUUCAGGUGUUAAUUAGAGGAAAUUAUCGCAUUUUAAAAUACCAAAUUUUUUACAUUCUAAUUUCAAAAAGAAUUGAACUGGUAUAGGAUUAAAUAUUUAAAUACCUAGUUAAAGGAAAAUCAUUAGUUCUAUGUCAAUACUUUUUCUUCAUAAAAUACAUAGACAAUAUGUAAUUAAAGAGAAGAAUUUC
Molecule: long non-coding RNA, 998 nt
Filed under: Mytilus galloprovincialis (Mediterranean mussel)
Lineage: Eukaryota; Metazoa; Mollusca; Bivalvia; Mytilida; Mytilidae
Source: RNAcentral